Molecule: long non-coding RNA, 531 nt
Filed under: Gallus gallus (chicken)
Lineage: Eukaryota; Metazoa; Chordata; Aves; Galliformes; Phasianidae
Source: RNAcentral
GUGGGAUCCAAGCCAAAUAGCUCUUGAAGUUGUCCAUAAAGCUCAGAACGGUUGUACACAUGAAAUUCAAAGUCGUUCACCAUAAUAUACAGUCUUGUUUCUGCCUUUGGAUCAUGCUGCUUCUGUUUAGGGUUGUACAUUUUCCACCAGCGAAAUAUGAUAAAUCCAUCUUGGAUUCUGAUAGACAUGUCUUCUGUGAUGAAAUAGAUUUCGCGAACCAUGACUUUUCCAGACAGCACAGAGAACGAAAAGGAACCAAUAUGGAUGUAGCCAUGUUUAUAUAGUCUGUUAAGAACCAGUGUUAAAAUUAGUCCAAUGUUCCGGGAAUUAUAAUAAGUUAGGUAGAUAAUCCAUCCACAAGACAAUAUUGUCGCUACUAACAGCCAAACAACGUUGGAGUCAUGUUCUGUUAAGAAGUCUUCCAACUGCGUGAUACUUGGGACAAAGCUAUCAUUUUUUCUUUGAUCCAUUGCUAAAUUGUUUUUGUACCAGCACCUAUAGAAGCCAUCGCCCUCCGCGGCGGCUCCACUA